Molecule: ribosomal RNA, 301 nt
Filed under: uncultured bacterium
Lineage: Bacteria
Description: partial 16S ribosomal RNA
Rfam family: Bacterial small subunit ribosomal RNA
Source: RNAcentral
CAGUCGCCACGGUAAUACGGAGGGUGCAAGCGUUAAUUGGAAUUACUGGGCGUAAAGCGCACGCAGGCGGUCUGUCAAGUCAGAUGUGAAAUCCCCGGGCUUAACCUGGGAACUGCAUUUGAAACUGGCAGGCUAGAGUCUUGUAGAGGGGGGUAGAAUUCCAGGUGUAGCGGUGAAAUGCGUAGAGAUCUGGAGGAAUACCGGUGGCGAAGGCGGCCCCCUGGACAAAGACUGACGCUCAGGUGCGAAAGCGUGGGGAGCAAACAGGAUUAGAUACCCCUGUAGUCCCUGUCUCUUAUAC